UGCCAGCUGCCGAGCUAAUACGGAGGGAGCGAGCGUUAAUCGGAAUUACUGGGCGUAAAGCGCGCGUAGGCGGCUUUGUAAGUCGGAUGUGAAAGCCCUGGGCUCAACCUGGGAAUGGCAUUCGAUACUGCAGAACUAGAGUAUGGUAGAGGGAAGUGGAAUUUCCGGUGUAGCGGUGAAAUGCGUAGAUAUUCGGAGGAACACCAGUGGCGAAGGCGGCUUUCUGGACCGAUACUGACGCUGAGACGCGAAAGCGUGGGGAGCAAACAGGAUUAGAUA
Molecule: ribosomal RNA, 279 nt
Filed under: uncultured bacterium
Lineage: Bacteria
Description: partial 16S ribosomal RNA
Rfam family: Bacterial small subunit ribosomal RNA
Source: RNAcentral